UAUGGUUUGGAUUUAAGGUUUAUGAUUUGGGUUUACGGUAUAUGGUUUGGGUUUAAGUUCUAGAAUUUGAGUAUAGAGUUUAGAAUCUUGAAUUUAUGAUUUAAAAUUUAGGGUUUAGAGUUUAGCUGGCGGCAUAAACAUCGUUAAAAUUGACGUCAUUUUUUUUUUUUCAACUAUUUUUCUCUAAUUUAAUAUUUUUUUAUUUAAUAAUCUAAAUGACACUUUGAUUGGUAUUAGAAAGUGAGAUAAAUUUAAAGGUUCAAUUUUGUUCGGUUACUAAAAAGUAAAAAUAGAACAAAAAAC
This 303-nucleotide long non-coding RNA is filed under the name Brassica napus (rape). RNAcentral describes it as "long non-coding RNA (BNAP_LNC021338)". The record is from RNAcentral. Lineage: Eukaryota; Viridiplantae; Streptophyta; Magnoliopsida; Brassicales; Brassicaceae.